UACAAAAGGGAGGGGGGUGGUAUCCAUAAGAAAAUCUCAGACUCUUUUAUUAUUAUUUUUUAUUAUUAUUUUUUUAACCCACAAGGGGAGGUUUCUUUUUUUUUUAAUUUUUUUAUUUAUUUAUGAUAGUCACAGAGAGAGAGAGAGGCAGAGACAUAGGCAGAGGGAGAAGCAGGCUCCAUGCGCCGGGAGCCCGAUGUGGGAUUCGAUCCCGGGUCUCCAGGAUCGCGCCCUGGGCCAAAGGCAGGCGCCAAACCGCUGCGCCACCCAGGGAUCCCCCUCAGACUCUUAUAGAUAGGACAAUUAAAAUUAUUUUCUGACAAUGGAGAAAGGUGAAAGAGAUUUUUAUUUUCAGUUGUUAAGAAAAACUAUCUUUCAACCUUUCCCUUUCUUCACCUUCAGUAUUUCCACCAUCACUUCUAGGUGACUACAGGAUGAGGCUUUAAAGAUACUGGAUCUAUAGAAAGAAAGGGCUGGAAGGGCAAGGAGGCAUCAGCUGAAAAGCAAAAAGCCAGAAAUCAAAUCUCCAGUCUACAGAGAUUGAGGAGGUGACUCCAUCCUCUUCACAGUGGCAUUCAUGCCCAGUUACUUCUUUAGACCUCAACUCCCAGACAGACAUUUCGAAGUCCUUCCUUUUGCUGGGACCUACGAGAGAAGAGAAAAAUCCACACCAAUCUUCUCAUAAUCCUUCUCAAGAGCAGCCUCAUCCUCCCAAGUCUCAGAACAUUUUCCUUCCUCCAUGUCUCACCUAUACACCAGUGAACAAAGGCAUGCUUGGCAUACAUCAAACUUGUAGUCUAGGUGAACCCAGGCCUCAACAAUGGCUGUGGCAUUGCUCACCAAGCACACAGCUUGUACUUUGGCCAGUUCCCUAUCAGGUACUACAGUGGAAGGCUGAUAAUGAAUGCCAACUUUGAAGCCAGUGGGGCAACAGUCCACAAAUUGGAUGGACUCUUGGUCUUGACGGUGGCAAUGGCAGCACUGAUAUCUUUGGGAACCACCACAUCAUGGUACAACAGGCAGCAAGCCACAUAUUUACUAUGGGAGAUAUUCCAUCAGCCAGAAGAUCAACCUGGAACCAGUUCUCCCUCCCCAGCUGUGGAAAACCAAGAAGCCCCGAAGACCUAUGCACCAAUCAGCCAGUUUCUGAAUUUGGCCCAAGACAAGGAGGCAUCCAGUGGACUUGAGCCAAAUUUCCUUGAGGCUGACCAACACCAUUUUACCACCCCAUGCUGAUCACAAGCCUCCUGAAGACAAUGCCUGUUGGAAGUGGGACAGCCACUAUUAUUUAGGUCUGCAUGGUGUUUGAAAAGCAAAGGAAAGAGAAGGUAGAGG
Molecule: long non-coding RNA, 1335 nt
Filed under: Vulpes vulpes (red fox)
Lineage: Eukaryota; Metazoa; Chordata; Mammalia; Carnivora; Canidae
Description: lncRNA (ENSVVUG00000000033.1)
Source: RNAcentral